This is an RNA transcript of Onychostoma macrolepis, 6378 nucleotides long. It is a transcript of the gene named sperm antigen with calponin homology and coiled-coil domains 1-like a, with no coding region annotated. The transcript is spliced from 18 exons. Lineage: Eukaryota; Metazoa; Chordata; Actinopteri; Cypriniformes; Cyprinidae. The record is from RefSeq and is a predicted model, not a curated record.
UAGAGCAGAAACAAGUCAGGUUAGAAAAGAAGACAGAGAGGGAUCGGAACAGCAGUUUUGUCGUAUCUCUGUGCAUAACUCAUAGACUACUACUGUAGAUUUAUAUAUGUAUUAGUAUGGCAGGUUAAUGCAGGUAGUUUUAAUUAUAACUCGCUGCACACUUUUUAGAUACAUUUUAUUUCCGUUUUAAAACAAACGUUGGUUGUUUUCAGGCGGCUAACAGAAUGAAUAUUUCAUGCUGCACAGCUGUACUGUGGAGACACAUGUGGUAGGCGGGCGCAGAGAGUGUGUGUGGUGAUGUGAUCUACUGUGUGUUUGUCUAUAGUCUGUCAGUCGCGCUGUUUGCAGUGGCCAACCAUCAGUGUAGCAUGAAACGAUGCCACACCACCUAAAACUCCGGAAUACCCUUUGUUAUCUACCUUUGAACACUACCCAGAAGAUCGUCUACCCUGACGGACGCUUAUACAGACCGAAAGGAGGGAGCCAAGACUGAGGGGUAGAUGUAUCACCCGGAGCGAGCGCAGUAUGAAGAAAGCAGGCAGGCCAGUGGGGAAUAAGGCAGCAAGUGGAGGAGCUAAAGGUGACGUGGUGACAGCUGGAACCUCUGCUGGCAAAAGUGCUGCUAAGAGCCCUACCGCAGCUCCGCUCUCCAAGGUCAAAAGCAAUGAUGAUCUUCUAGCUGGUAUGGCUGGGAGCAGUGCAGGGACAAACAGCAGUGUUGCCAAGGGCAAGAAAUCAACCUCUACACACUCAUCCUGCGGAACAAACACUAAUAACCUUGACACAAAGACCAAGACCACCUCAGGCCCAUCUGGCAAACGGACUUCAUCCACAGCCUCCAAGGAAUCAAACUCCUCACGUGAUCGUUUGCGAAACUCCAGAAACUCCAGCAGUAAGAAGCAGUCAUCCACUGGUGCUUCUGAUCGAGCCCAGCCCAGGCAUUCCCGUGGACAGGCCCAAACUUCAGACUCUGAGAGCCGCAUGAGCAAAUCAAAGUCUGACGGACAGCUAAGUGAUAAAUUGGCCCUGGAGGCCAAAGUGAAAAAUCUGUUAGGUCUGGCCAAGAGCAAAGACGUGGAAAUCCUGCAGCUACGGGGAGAGCUGAGGGACAUGAGGGUUCAGCUGGGACUGCCCGAGGAAGAUGAGGAGGAUGAGAGGCCACCUGAGAGGGAGGCGGCUGCAGUGAUCACAGCUGCAGAUGUGGAGUCAACAUUGCUGCUCCUGCAGGAGCAGAACCAGGCCAUCCGUGGAGAGCUCAACCUGCUUAAGAAUGAAAACCGCAUGCUAAAGGACCGCCUCAAUGCUCUGGGCUUUUCCCUGGAGCAAAGACUGGAUGGGGCUGAGAAAACCUUUGGCUUUCCCUCCACCAGUCCUGAACUUUCCUCCUCUGGAGGUGGUGGAGGUCAUGGAGACUGUGCUACUGUGGCCUCCUCUGUGGAGGGAUCAGCACCAGGCUCCAUGGAGGACCUCCUUACGGGAGGCCAGCGAAGUGGCUCAACAGACAACCUGGACAGCGAGUCCAGUGAGGUCUACCAAGCGGUGACCUCCAGUGACGACGCUUUGGACGCUCCCUCAGGCUGCGGUUCCUCGUCAUCCUCUGAGUCUGAAGGUGGCGCUCCGGAAUGUCACAAUUCCUCUCGUAAGGGGAGCAGUGGAAACACCAGUGAGGUUUCAGUGGCGUGCCUUACAGAGCGCAUCCACCAGAUGGAGGAGAACCAACACAGCACGGCUGAGGAGCUCCAAGCGACUCUACAGGAACUGGCUGACCUGCAACAGAUCACGCAGGAGCUAAAUGGUGAAAAUGAACGCCUGGGAGAGGAAAAGGUCCUGCUUAUGGACUCCCUCUGCCAACAGAGUGACAAACUGGAGCACUGUGGCCGUCAGAUCGAGUACUUCCGUUCACUUCUGGACGAACACGGUGUGGCCUACUCGGUAGACGAAGACAUCAAGAGUGGCCGAUACCUGGAGCUGGAGCAACGCUAUGUGGAGCUUGCGGAAAAUGCUCGCUUUGAGCGUGAGCAGCUGUUAGGUGUGCAGCAACAUCUUAGCAAUACUCUGAAGAUGGCUGAGCAGGAUAAUGCUGAGGCUCAGAGUGUGAUCUCAGCACUGAAAGAGCGCAACCAUCACAUGGAGCGACUUCUAGAGGUGGAAAGGCAAGAGCGGGGUGGCAUGGCGGCAGUUCUGGAGGAGUGUAAAGCUGCUGUCAACAACGACCAGGCUGAGCUGAGCCGCUGUCGGGUGUUACUUGAGCAGGAGAGGCAAAAGGUUGCUGAGCUUUACUCCAUCCACAAUGCCGGAGAUAAGAGCGACAUCCACCAGCUCCUGGAGGGAGUUAGGCUGGACAAGGAAGAAGCUGAAGCCAAAGCCGCCAAACUACAGGACGAUUUGGGCCACGCUCGCAAUGAGGUGGCAUGUCUGCAGGACACCCUCAACAAGCUGGAUGCUGAGUACAGGGACUUCCAGAGUGAGGUGCAGAAAGAGUUAGCCGAGCAGAAGAGGGCUAUAGAGAAGCAACGUGAGGACCUGCAGGAGAAAGAGACGGAGAUCGGAGACAUGAAGGAGACCAUCUUUGAGCUGGAGGAUGAAGUGGAGCAGCACCGAGCCGUCAAGCUUCAUGACAACCUCAUCAUCAGCGACCUAGAGAAUUCGAUGAAAAAGCUUCAGGAUCAGAAGCAUGACAUGGAGAGAGAGAUAAAGAUACUGCACCGCAGACUCAGGGAAGAGUCGGCAGAGUGGCGUCAGUUCCAGGCAGAUCUGCAGACUGCUGUGGUCAUUGCUAAUGACAUCAAGUCAGAAGCUCAAGAGGAGAUCGGUGACCUACGCCGCCGCCUGCAAGAAGCCCAAGAAAAGAACGAGAAGCUGAGCAAAGAACUAGAUGAAGUUAAAAACCGCAAGCAAGACGAGGAGCGUGGACGUGUAUAUAACUACAUGAAUGCUGUUGAGAGGGACCUGGCUGCUCUCCGGCAGGGCAUGGGACUGAGUCGACGCCCCUCCACGUCCUCCGAGCCAUCACCCACCGUUAAAACGCUCAUCAAAAGCUUUGACAGUGCCUCACAGGGUCCUGGAGCUAAUGCUACUGCAGCUGCUGCUGCUGCCGCUGCUGCUGCCGCUGCAAGCACAACCACAAGCGCCCCCUUACCUCGCACACCUCUCAGUCCCAGCCCCAUGAAGACCCCGCCUGCUGCUGCUGUCUCACCCAUACAGAGACACUCCAUCACUGGCUCUAUGGCCGCUGCGAAGCCCCUCUCCUCCCUUACAGACAAAAGACCCAGUUACACGGACAUCAGCAUGCCAGCUGAGCAUCUACUAAGAGCAGCCAACGGCAGUCGUCCCGCUUCAGCUCUUCAGAGAGUCUCAAGCAUGGACACAUCAAAGACCAUCACAGUGUCUCGAAGAAGCAGCGAAGAGGCGAAGAGGGAUAUCAGUGCUCCUGAUGGAGGCCCAGCUUCCUCUCUGAUAGCCAUGGGCUCUGCUGCACCUUCUCUCUCCCUGUCCUCUUCCUCUUCCCCCACAGCCUCUGUCAACCCCACAGCGCGCAGCCGCAUUCGAGAGGAGCGAAAAGACCCGCUGUCAGCUUUGGCUCGUGAAUAUGGUGGUUCUAAAAGAAAUGCACUGCUGAGGUGGUGUCAGAAGAAAACCGAGGGUUAUCAGAAUAUCGACAUUACCAACUUUAGUAGCAGCUGGAAUGAUGGUCUGGCCUUCUGCGCUGUCCUUCACACAUAUCUGCCUGCUCAUAUUCCCUAUCAAGAACUCAACAGUCAGGACAAGAGACGAAAUUUCACCCUGGCCUUCCAAGCAGCGGAAAGUGUGGGAAUCAAGUCCACUCUGGCAUGUUCAGGAGCUCCGGUUUGCACUGGAGCAAUGUGCACAAAGACCUAAUGGAGAUCCGAGGCACUCUAUUAAUCUUCAAGUUGGAAUAUUUCUGUCAUCCACUCCCAUCCUGUAAGCUGACAGCAGGACAUCAAUGACAUGGUCCAUACAGAAAGACCGGACUGGCAGAGUGUUAUGACUUACGUCACCUCUAUCUACAAGUAUUUUGAGACCUGAGCACAUGUACUUUUAUAGAUUGUCAAACCAAUGCAACAAAUUUCCACCAACUAACCUGAGUGCAACUUCCCACCAUAUCAUCUAAGCCUAAUCCUAGCACAAAGUCAUAUUAAACCCAUCACAAGGACAGUUCACUUAGCAUAUGCUGAUAUGACAUCGAUAUAUCAAAGAAAAUCAUCUACAGUGGAACCGAAUCAGUUUGCCUUGAUAAUGCUUCAACUCACUGUCGCGUGACUCUAACACUACAGACUACAUCUAGUUACUAAUUCUUGGUGUGGAUGAUCUAAAACUGUGGAUUUGAAAUCAGUCUUAAGGAACAGCGUGGACCCGCUUGCGACCCCGUGCCUUUCGCCACCCUGAGUUCUUGCUUCCAGACAGACGUUUGGAGCAAGUUCUUCACCUUAAUACACAGCCGUGGAACUUGUUUUAAAAGAACGAGACGUGCGGAUUGCUCAAAGCAGUGCCUAAUUGAAACACUUCAUUGGAGUAGCACUUCAGUAGAGGAGAAUUGUACACUAAUAGGAGUUAUUCACUAUAGCACACAGUCAGUGGUUAAACUUUUUUACAGGAUUGCCCAUUUUGGGCACAUUGUUACGACUGUGAUGGAUCUUGGCUUGAAAUACUACAUAUUAAAUAGGGAGGUCAGCAAUAAGCUUAUGUAACCCGUUGAGCCAUUUCAUAUGACAUUAGUGCUGCUCACCAUCAGUAUGAUACUGUAGUAAACGCUAUAUUCAGAUUAGCAGCACAUGUGCAUGUACUGUCCAUUGUAUUAGUCUGAAAUAGUAUACCAAAAAUGAAAUCUGUCACGAUAUCUUUUUGUUUGUAAGCUAACUUCCUUAUGUACUAAUCAAAUAGUAUGUUCUUUCUCAGGAUAAGAAAGUCGUAUUGAUAUUUAUCAAGAUGAAUAAUCAUAUGCGAUUCAUAAUAUGUUAUGUGCAGUGCUCACCAAUACCCGCACAUUUUAUUGUUUGCAAAGCACAAAAAUCAUUUUACAUGCACUAAUUCAAAAUGUAAAUGAAGCUACAUUCCAGUGCAUUAAUAUGGAAGAGUUUCUGCCUGAGUGACAAAAAUCACAAUUGUCACACAUAUCCUGUUUUGCAGCUGUGCUGAAUUCAGGCAUCAUUCUCUUUUCAUGAAUUUGAAAGACUUUGACGUUUCCCACCUGUCUGCAAAUAACACUUUAAAGGUAAUUCAAGACAUGAAAAUAAAUAACAGUAAUGAUAAAACAGUCAUUUUUCAUGAGUGUUGAAAAAAUGUGAGGUAUGUCUCUUUCUUUGAUUCUUUUAAUAGGGUAUUUAAUAUUUCCAUUCCUCAGGAAGUAUUUCACAUUGUUUGAAAUAAUUCCUAUUCAAAUUCCUGGGUGUGUAGCUUAGCAGCCGUUUUUAGCUCUCGAACAUCUGAAAGAAAAAUCUGCAGUUUCCCUGGUAAGCGUUUUAAGAAUUAUUCCAAACUGCAUUACUGAGCUACUUUACCUUUGGACCACGAUCGCAUAAUAAUUAAAAGUAAGAGUCAAAUUAAUCUUUAUAUUUGUCCCAAAUAAAUCCUGACCAAAUGUUCUGUUCAUAAGCAGCAUAUCGGCUUAAUUUACUAAACAAGAGACAUGUUGAGUUGGACCUGCAAUUCUGUAUGUCUGUUUAACGUGCUUCAAGCUUUCAUCACAUUAAUAUGAAUGUAAUACAGCUCUGUUGCCUUUUAGAUUGUUAAUUUACACCAGUUUUCUGUUCUUGAAUGCUGCCAUUUUGUUUAGGUUUUUUUUUUUAUUGUUGUGAGAACAUUAUCUUAAUAAAAAGGGUAAAAUGAUUUCCUUUUUAUAAAUAAAUGUGAAGAGCAAUCAAUAUGCUGUUCCUCCGGAAAUGAAUCGAUCACCUGGUGUAUAAACAUUUUUCUUUGCAUUAUCGUAUUUUAAUUCUCGCAUUUUAGUUGUGCAGCAUAGGGAAAUCCCUUUUUGGGUUUCACUUUUUAAAGAUUGAUUAAUUGGUCCAUGAAUCAGUGAAUAACUUGUAUUAUAUAGAAAUAACAAAAAUGAGGUUUUAAUUAAUUCCCAGCCCCUUUCCGGACUGGAAAUUCAAGUAAUGUAAUGCAUCGUGGUUGCCCUCCCAUUUGGCUGGAAGGCUUUUCUAAUCUUUGUCCUAAACACAUUUAACAGGUCAUUUAAAACCGGCAAAAGGUCUGAGGAAAGGAGAUGGUGGGUGUUUGAGUUUAGCUCUUUAUCUUUGUUGUUGUGAAGGUUGGGUGUUUUGCAGCACGAUUAAUACAUUUCUAGGAUUAGAUGUGAAGUCAGUCUUUACAUAGAGUAAAAAAAAAAAAAAUUGCAUUUUGUCCUGAAUUAGA